CUCCGGUGCUAACCUUGCCGG
Molecule: non-coding RNA, 21 nt
Filed under: Arabidopsis thaliana (thale cress)
Lineage: Eukaryota; Viridiplantae; Streptophyta; Magnoliopsida; Brassicales; Brassicaceae
Source: RNAcentral